AUGAAGCUUAUCUCAUGGAAUUGCCGGGGGUUGGGGAACGGCCCGGCAAUUCGCAGCCUUUUGGAGCUCCAGAAGGAGGAGGACCCCGAUGUGCUUUUUUUGUCGGAAACAAGGAUGGUGCGUGGCAGGCUGGAAUGGUUGAGGUGGAAGAUGGGCAUGACCAAUAUGAUUGUAAAAGACUGCGAGGGGCAGAGUGGUGGACUGGCUUUGUUUUGGAAGAAUCAAGUUAAUCUCAAGCUAAUUGGGUUUGUCUCUCGGUACCAUAUUGAUACGGAAAUUACUGAAUCGAACGGAUUCGUUUGGCGGUUCAUAGGGAUUUAUGGAGAAUCAAAGCAUGAUGAAAAGGAUAAGAUGUGGAAAUUACUGCGGAACCUGAAACACCAAAGCAAUAAGCCUUGGCUGUGUGCGGGAGAUUUCAAUGAGAUUCUACAUUCAUGGGAGAAGGAUGGAGGAGCACCUCGAUUUCAAGCUUGCAUGGACCGGUUUAAGGCGGCUCUAGAGGUGUAUGAGCUUUGA
This 516-nucleotide ribosomal RNA is filed under the name Triticum aestivum (bread wheat). RNAcentral's name for it is "partial small subunit ribosomal RNA". The record is from RNAcentral. Lineage: Eukaryota; Viridiplantae; Streptophyta; Magnoliopsida; Poales; Poaceae.